RNAcentral lists this transfer RNA (76 nucleotides) under Sphaerodactylus townsendi. RNAcentral's name for it is "tRNA-Ala". Lineage: Eukaryota; Metazoa; Chordata; Lepidosauria; Squamata; Sphaerodactylidae. The record is from RNAcentral.
GGAGGUGGCUGUGGCUCAGUAGCACAGGGUCUGUUCAGCAUGCAGAUGGUCCCAGGUUCAAUUCCCGGCAUCUCCG